Non-coding RNA from Pelobates cultripes (western spadefoot toad), 594 nucleotides. The record is from the annotation of a GenBank genome assembly. NCBI's taxonomy places the organism in Eukaryota, Metazoa, Chordata, Amphibia, Anura, Pelobatidae.
GUACACCAUAGGUAGCGUGCGGAGUUGGCUCCUUGGGUCAGUGGGUUGUGGGCAAUGAGUUCUGUCUGCGGGACGUCAGUUGCGUCGACAUCUUUUCAGGUAACCGGAUCAUAGGUGUCACAGAGAGUUGAGCCCGGUGCCACCAGUGCUUGGCUAUUCUUCUGGGUUAGACGGGUGUGAAGGUGCUUCGUGUAUGCGGUUUUCCCUUGGGCCUCUCCGUGAGUGCCUUGGCUGUCUUUGUGGUCUGGGUUCUCGGUCCAGUGGUUCCAGGAUCCAGUCUGGGAUUGCUAUGGGCGGGAGGUCCAGCCGUUGGAGAAAGCGUGGUAUUUCGUCCGGCCAGCGCGCAGCGACCCAUUCGUUCUGGUGUCUCACUUGGAUGCUAAAUGGGAAGCCCCAUUUGUAUGGGAUAUUGCGUUCCCUUAGUGCUGUAGUGAUAGGUCUGAGAGCGCGUCUAGCCUCUAACGUGGUAGGGGAGAGGUCAUUAUAGAGGGAGACUUCCGUUUCUUGAUAACGCCACGUGGGUCGAGCCCUAGCCCGUUGCAUUAUGCGAUCUUUAAGGGGGAAUGAGUGUAAGCAGCAUAUAAUGUCUCUGGG